GUCUAAUACCGGAUACGAGUCUGGGAGGCAUCUCCCGGGCUGGAAAGCUCCGGCGGUGAAGGAUGAGCCCGCGGCCUAUCAGCUUGUUGGUGGGGUAAUGGCCUACCAAGGCGACGACGGGUAGCCGGCCUGAGAGGGCGACCGGCCACACUGGGACUGAGACACGGCCCAGACUCCUACGGGAGGCAGCAGUGGGGAAUAUUGCACAAUGGGCGAAAGCCUGAUGCAGCGACGCCGCGUGAGGGAUGACGGCCUUCGGGUUGUAAACCUCUUUCAGCAGGGAAGAAGCGCAAGUGACGGUACCUGCAGAAGAAGCGCCGGCUAACUACGUGCCAGCAGCCGCGGUAAUACGUAGGGCGCAAGCGUUGUCCGGAAUUAUUGGGCGUAAAGAGCUCGUAGGCGGCUUGUCACGUCGGGUGUGAAAGCCCGGGGCUUAACCCCGGGUCUGCAUCCGAUACGGGCAGGCUAGAGUGUGGUAGGGGAGAUCGGAA
RNAcentral lists this ribosomal RNA (491 nucleotides) under Streptomyces roseoviolascens. RNAcentral's name for it is "bacterial SSU rRNA". It matches the Rfam family "Bacterial small subunit ribosomal RNA", at positions 161 to 666 of the family's 1533-position model. Lineage: Bacteria; Bacillati; Actinomycetota; Actinomycetes; Kitasatosporales; Streptomycetaceae. The record is from RNAcentral.